AGGAUGAACGCUGGCGGCGUGCUUAAUACAUGCAAGUCGAGCGAGGACCACUUGGUGGCAACACCGGGUGGCUCCUAGCGGCGAACGGGUGAGUAACACGUGGGCAACCUACCCCCGACUCUGGGAUAAGCCCGGGAAACUGGGUCUAAUACCGGAUAUGAACCUCCUCCGCAUGGUGGAGGUUGGAAAGGGUCUCCGGUUGGGGAUGGGCCCGCGGCCUAUCAGCUUGUUGGCGGGGUAACGGCCCACCAAGGCGACGACGGGUAGCCGGCCUGAGAGGGUGAACGGCCACACUGGGACUGAGACACGGCCCAGACUCCUACGGGAGGCAGCAGUAGGGAAUCUUGCGCAAUGGGCGAAAGCCUGACGCAGCGACGCCGCGUGCGGGACGAAGGCCUUCGGGUUGUAAAGCUCUUUUGGCCGGGAAGAAAAGGCGCCCGUUGAAUACGGGGCGCUGUUGACGGUACCGGCAGAAUAAGCACCGGCUAACUACGUGCCAGCAGCCGC
This 507-nucleotide ribosomal RNA is filed under the name uncultured bacterium. Its description in RNAcentral is "SSU rRNA". It matches the Rfam family "Bacterial small subunit ribosomal RNA", at positions 26 to 518 of the family's 1533-position model. The record is from RNAcentral.